This 2678-nucleotide unclassified non-coding RNA is filed under the name Dimorphilus gyrociliatus. Its description in RNAcentral is "dgyrCDS2469". Lineage: Eukaryota; Metazoa; Annelida; Polychaeta; Dinophilidae. The record is from RNAcentral.
ACGUGCAACCUUGACAUUGAGUUUAUGUGCAUAAGAUGAUCUCCCAACGUUUUGUCGUAGUUUCUUGAAUGAUCACUCUCUCAUCAGAUCUCUAUAACUUUGGAAUUUGUUGGAAAGUAUUUCAGCUAAGUAAGUUUCUCUUUGAAAAAACUUCAAUAUUCAUCUUAGCAAAUUUCUGAGCAAUUAUUUCAAUACCGAGAAAAAACGUGGGUAAUAUUGAUUUGUUCAAUACUACAUUGAUCUACAAUAUCAAGACUUUGUUACACAUUAUCGAAAUCUUGGAAAAUGUUUUUAGUUUAUGCAAAAAAUCACAAUUAUUCAAUUGUAAUUAACUUCCUCUGAUUCGUUUUUACAAGAAAAGUUCCACAGAUAAGAUAUUUCCUUGAAAACAAAGAAGUGUACGCAUAAAGCACUGAAUUCGAAUUGAUAGGCCAAAGUAUAACACCAAGAUAAAAAGUUUUAUUAGAAUCAAUUAAAGAAAUGAGCUAAAUAAAAAAAUGGAUUUUAUAUGCGAAUAUUUGACAUUAAACAUAAAUCCUUUGUUAUCCUUUUCAGAUAAUCAUGAGACUCUUUAUGAAAACUAUAUAUAAUAAGAGCUUUGCAUCUAAUCCUUACCUAUAUUUGGUGGCUAAGAGAUCAGUUGCUUCAACUCAAGCGAAGCCUGAAGUUCUAUCUAAACAUAUGAAAAUAAGAAAGGCUUUUGAUUCGAAAUUGAAUGCUGAUGAGAGACCCUUAAUUUUAUUGUAUAGUUGGUUGAGGGCCAAAUCAAGUCAUCUAAAUAAAUACAGUGACUUUUAUCUGACAAAGGGUUUUGAUGUAUUACAAAUAACCACUACUCCCUCUUCAAUUGUUGCACCUAAAAAAGCAAGAAAGAGCAUGGAAGAAUUGCUAAAUUAUAUUAAUUCCGAACACGACCAUAAACCAUUAUUUGUUCAUGGUUUCUCAGUUGGUGGUUAUCUCUUUGGCGAAACUUUAAAACAUAUGAAAGACAAGCCUAAAUUAUACGAAAGUGUUAGCAGUAGAAUUAAGGGACAGUGCUUCGAUUCCCCAGUAGAUGUUUCAAAUAUUGCCAAAGGACUUGCUCAUGUGCUAGCCCCAAAUAAUCCUAACAAAAAAGCAUUUUUGAAAAGUGCUUUUUCUCUUUAUCUUCAAUUAACAAAAAACAUAACUGGCUCUUAUUAUAAUGCAAGUCAAGAUCAGAUCUUGAAUAAUUAUUUCGGAAUACCAACAUUGUUUUUCUACAGUAAAUCUGAUCCAAUUUGUUCGUUCGAAUUAAUUAAUAGUAUAAUAUCUGAUCAUGAAAGAAAGAAUAUUCCAGUUUUGGGGAAAUGGUGGACAAGUUCUCCUCAUGUUUUACAUAUGAAACAAGAUCCUGUUGAGUAUAUUGGUUCGUUGAAUAAUUUCUUAGAAAGCGUCGAUCUUCUUCCAAAAGGACAUUUAGAAAAAGAAGAUAUGAUAUCAAAAACUGAAAAGAUUAAGGAAACCUCAUAUGGUAUUUAGGAUUCAAGAAAGUUUAACUUAUAUAUUUUCUAAUAAUAUUUCCUUUCUUCCUAUUGAAAAGUAUUAUCCUAAGGUCUUAAUUUAAAUUUAACUAUCAGAACUCUUUAUAAUAUUUUACUUAUCGAUUUCGUUGCGUGUUGACAAUGUUAUUUCUAUUUAAGAUGUUUAUUUCCUAUUCAAAUAAUAGAUAACUCUUUAUAUAUUUAUAAAUAUAUACAAUAUUUAAGCACAUAAAGUAUAUAAAAUAUAUACUAAUUAUAUACCAAAUGCGUAGUAUUUAUCGUUCAAAAUGUACACCAGAUUAGACAAAGCUCCAUCUGGCGGCUAAUCAAGGUGGCGCUGCUAGGUUGUCAGUCUUAAUCCAAACAGGAAUCUUUGGUUUAUUUCAAAUCCAAUUAGAUUUAGUUGUGAUUAAGUAAAAAAUCUGAUGUGUCUCAGUAAGAUCACGCAAUAUCAAUAAUGUUGGUGUUGAAAUUGCGGCGGUAUGCGUAAGGAAUGAAAACAAAUGAUUUUUCGCAGUUUGUCUAAAAUAAACUAUAUCGAACAUCUUUCACUUUUGGCGGCUUUUUUUGAUAUGAACGAUAAACUGGAAUUUCUUUGGUAUAUUUAUUAUGGCAUGGGACUGAGGGGGGAGGGGAGAAGGUUAAAAAGAGAGGUGCAAAAGGGGCUUGUAUAUUUUUUAACUCGAGAAAGAAAAAGAAGAAUAAAAGAAAUAAUUAUAAAGCUAAUUUUUUUCCUUCUUUCCUUUGUUAAUUUACGGUUUGAAAACUUUUCUGAAAAGGUAAAGAAAGAUAAUAAAAAUAAAGGAAAAAGAAGGAAUUCAUUUAACUUUGUCACUUUGAUUCACCGAUUUAGCCAGAUUUAUGAGCCGAGAUAUCUUUAGUACUUAAUGACUUAUAUUUCUUUAUUUCUUUUCUUUUUGUGUUGUGUAGUUUGAUUCAAUUCGUUGACCUUUUUUUAUUUUGUUUUGGUAUUAUUUGAAAAAGUAGGAUAAAUUUUUAAUAUUUGUCGGAUAUAAGUUUUAACACUUGGUAGCGUCUUUAUAUAGAGUUUAUAUAUAUAUAUACAGUAUAUAUUGAAAUUUAAUAGAAAAGAUAUAAUCAAUGAAUGGAAUGAGCUUCUUUGUCAGAUAUAUAUUUCCAUAUACCGCAUAGUAAUAAAUAUACUUUCUCUCUCUC